This is a non-coding RNA of Schizophyllum amplum, 89 nucleotides long. The record is from the annotation of a GenBank genome assembly. Lineage: Eukaryota; Fungi; Basidiomycota; Agaricomycetes; Agaricales; Schizophyllaceae.
GGCCCAAUGGUCUAGUAGUAUGAUACGUGCUUUGGGUAGUCAAAGACCAUCACUGCACGGGGUCCCGGGUUCAACUCCCGGUUGGGCCC